UAUAAAUAUUAAUCAGGUUACCUUUAAGAUGUACAGCAUUACCUUAAUCCAUUAUUCUAAAGAACUUUGAAAGUUAAAUGACUUCUAAAUAUUAAAGAGAAGAGUAUUUUUAUAAUAUUAUUUUUUAUCUCUAAUCAUUUCCACUAUAUCUUCAUCUAUUGACAUUGAUAUACAACAGUUGCCUUAAACAUCUCCUUCUGCAAUAUGAUUAAUAAUUUAAGUGAGUUAUUAUCUACGUAAGCAUCUAAUUAUCUGUGUGAAUUGGACGCACUUACAGGUAACAAGCGGUUUGCAUUUGCUUAUGUGCCCAGGUACCGCUAGCUGGAAGUGAUAGAUGAUAGAUAGCGCGCUGAGGGCACGGGCACCGUUAUUUGCACAUUACUUUACGGUUUCAGCUACACCCAAAACACAUUGAGGCCCAAAUAAACAUGUCGAGCGUCAUAAAAACAGAACGACACGGACAUGGACAUGGACAUGGACAUGGAUACGCAAAAAUGGUCAUUGAAAUGGGAGCGGCAGAGGGAACUGGAGCGGGAGUGGGAGCGGCAGAAGGGAAUGGGAAAGGGAAUGGGAACGGGAACGGGAACCGGGAACGGGAAUGUGAGCUAGAGCUGGACCUUACCAAUUGCUGGCGAAUACGAAGAACUAUUUGCAACUAUUCAUUUUCGCGCAUGUUUCAUAGUUUUAGUGCGCCUGCAUGUUUAAGUUGUUUUAGUUGUUUGCUUGUUUGUUUGUGCUCGUGUUUGUGUUUAUGUUUGCCUUCAAGUGUGGCUGUUGUUGCUGUUGACGUCGUCGUCAACAUAAUGCGAGCAUUACCGAUCCAUUGUUGUGUAUGUCUGCCCCGUCAGUCCACCUUCUGCUGGCUCUGCUCGCAGUUCGCGCAAUUUUCAAAUCAAUUUUGUUUACUUUUUAUGCACAAACAACAGCAAAAGCAACAGCAACAGCCACAGCAACUGCGACACACGCACUGCCACUUUUCUCCCCACUUUUCUGGCCAUAUCUGCGCGCCGGCUGUCCGUGUGUUUAACAACAUUUUUAUGGUUUGGCACACACCCUAAGCCAAAUGGCAACAAAAAAGUCGUCAGUGUUUGAAAAGUGCAUCGGUAGGCGAGAGAAAGACGGGCAGACGAGCAGCCGGAGAGACGGACAGACUGGCUAACUGUCUGACAGACAUGUACAUGCAACUGCAGCAGCAGCAGCAGCUCUGUAACUGUAAAUUAUACAUUUCAUAAAUUUCGCUACAUAUUUCGUGAUAAUCGCAUGUAAUUGCGUUUUAUCUGCACCUUUCAUCCGGACAUGUGAGCAAACAAAUGCGCUUAAUGCAAAGCGCCCUUAAACAGCAGCAGCAACCCCUUUCAAGCCCGAAAUGCAAAAAACUGACCACAGUAACUAGCGCUCAGUAACCAGUUAGCAGUUCCAUUUGCCAGACCGAAAGGCAGGCGGGCAGGCGGGCAAGCGGGGCUCGUUUUUGUUGUUUUCGUUUUGGGCUCAAGCGCGCUUCAAUGGGCUUUGGCCAUGUCCAGCGAUUUGCGGGCAGCGAUAGCCAACUAUACGAACAAUUUCUUAAUAUUUUACAAUAAUACGAUAUUUGGGUUACAACAAAAGCCAACACACACACGCAACUUGGCAACUUGGCAGCUUUGCAACCCCUCGCAGCGCUGCCUCGUCUUUGUAAGUUGCAUUAAAAUGUGGCGACGGACAGCUUAUGUAUUUUGCAUUGAGUGUGUGAGUGUGUGCGUUGCUGUGUGUAUGUGGACGUUGUUGUGAUAACAACUCACGCGAUUAUCAAUUUGACACCCAAACAUUGUGUUGUUCGUUGGCCGCUGGUCGCCGAGUUGCCUGAGUGAAUGACUGCGAAUAUAUUCGCAACUGGAUGGCUGAUCACGACAUCGGGCCAACAACCACAUAAAAACAAAAAAAAAACAAAAAUAACACCAGCAACAACACAACAGAAAAGCUGUCGGCGUGUUGACUACCGCAGAAUAUCAGCAGCAGCAGCAGCAGCAACAGCAACGGCAGUGGCAACAACAACAACAACAACAAUAAAAGUAGUGACAGCGGGGAUUAGGCAAAUUUUGUGCAGUCAGUUCGUAGAGUCGACCCUUCUGGCAUGCCAACAGCCCGAGCUAAUAUAGCAGUUAUACAGUAACCAACAAUUUUAAAGGCUUAAAGGGUCACUCAUUCAGCUACAAUGUUUGGAAAAACGCCUAAGCCUUGCAGUCGAGUGUAGCAGGCUGCGUAAUGCUCGUUAACAGUGCAAUAAAACGUUGAAAGACUUUAACUAUCCCAUAGGCGGUAAUUAUGCUGUAUGCUCAUAGCCAAAACUGCAUGGAGUUCAGAGUGAUAUAUACACACACAUCAUCGACAGCAUUUACUUAUCUGCAUAAUUUGUUGAAGAGAUUUGUUAAGAGCAUUUUCAACGCUUCGAAAAGAAAAUGUACCAAGCGACAGCUACACCAGCAGCAACAACAACAACAACGAGAGCUGGCUUAAUUAUGCUGUCACAGAGGCCAGAAGAUAAAGAAAAACAACAACAACAACGAACCGUCUUUCGUCUCUCAGCAAGAGGCGAGAUAUGAGGCCGAAGUUUACAAGUAGUACAAAAUUCGAAUAUAUAUUUCAGCGCUUAAUUCCGUAUGACACGAUAUGCUGACGGAGGGGCGAGUAAUCUAUUAAAUGGAGCAAUCUUCGAGUGGCAUUCAAAUGCAUUUUUCAACAACUACAUCAACUUGUGGGCAACACUGCCCAGGUGCCCCACACACACACACACACACAGACUUUGCUCCUCCUGCUCUGGCAGCUUUAGUGUUGAGUAAUGAAUGAAAUGCAAAAUAUUUGAAAAAUAAUUUAUAGGCGUUGCUCGGCCGCUGGCUAUGAAUGUCAAUUCGAAUUAAAAUCAUUUAUUUAACUCACAUAUGUAUGUGUGUGUGUGUGUGUGUGAAUGUGGAGCACUCGGUGCUCAGCUGGAAAUUCGCUUUCGAAUAAUUGAAAAUUGAGAGGCUGGCAAUAAAGGAUUAAGCCUGGACAAGCAAUUUGCGCAGGCGCUUUCAACUGACGUCAUUUAUUGUGUUAGGAAAAAUAAAUUUAAAAAUGCAUAAAGGGCCGCAAAAAAUAAAACAAAAGGCAGCCAUGCUGUGGCCAACCGCAGCGUUAUUAUUUAAAUGUGCAUUACGCACACACACACACAUGCACUCACAUGCACUUACACAUUCAGACACAUUAAAUUAACACACAGAUGCCUGUCGUUAAAAAAAUCGACAGUUGGCUGGCGGUAUUCCCAGUGCCAGUCGUAGGACCUCUCUCUCUCUCUCUCUCUCUCUCUCUCUUUCUCCGUCCCGCAUACGACAUGUUGUCAUCGUCAUCAACCCUUUUCCUGGUGUCCUGGCUGCGGCGGCGUCAUAAUUAAUAAGAGAAAUCCCUUUUCAAUUUGACGGAGUGCAUUUGUCAUUGCAUUUAAUUUGCGGAGUACGCGGCCAAAGACGAGAAACAGAGGAUGUCCGGAAGUUGUCGUUGUCCUCGAGUGCGGUUGGUCCCCGGCCGGGUCGCGGCUGCAUCAGCCAGCGUCUGGUGUCAAGUAGGGGCUGUCCUCUCCUGUAACCGUUUUGCCGUUCACACGAAACAUAUUUAAAUGCAUAGCGCUUCAGUAGUCAGCGAAAUUAACAGUCGCGCCAUAGAAGGAUAGAUGGAGAAUCUAACAAAACUAUGAGGGUCGCCGGCCUUGGUUCUGUUUAAUGUUGCAUUAGCCCAAGGGCCGUUGCAAUUAGUAAGUAUGCCUCAUUUUGAUUUCGGGCAGGCACUCGCCAUGUCUUUCCCGCCCACACCGAGAGCUGUUCGAAGCCUUUUGACGAAAGCGGAUGAUGCUGAUGCCGAUGCUGAUGUCGAUGCUGUUGUCGAUGUCCAGUUUUAUUGACGCGUCUCCCUGGACCAUAUUGUUUGUAUUUUAAAUUGGCAGCGCGCUUAGCACAUCCGCCGGCGCGCAACGAGCCGAUAGAGCGAUGCGCAGAUGGGGAUGCGGACGAGGAUGCGAUUGUCGAUCCAGUGUGAGUUGCACGAAACGCGCUUGCGGACCAAUAAUUGAUUGCCUUACCGUUAGGCAGCUGCUCAAAAUGCGCAAGUGGCAGCAGGUGAGCGAGCCAAUCUCCCAAACCCGACCGCCAGCCACUUUGCACAGAUGAGAUUUUCAAUUUGACUAGGGCCGCCCGAAUGUUUGCGUAUUAAAUUUGCAUGGAAAUCUGUCUAUAUUGACCGAGAAUGGCCAAUGCAAAUGUUUGCCGGGCCAAAUGAAUGGCCGAGAAUGAAGAGACAGCAGCAAUUGCUGCUGCUGUUGAUGUUGCUGUUGGUCAGUCAACGGACAGGGGGCAAUGCACCCGGCGAUGGCGUCGACGUCGGCGUUGCUGCUGCGAUUUGCCUCUUUGGGCAUUUUUAAUACGCGUUUCCAUUUGCGCUUGCCAAAUGUUAUCAUUGCAACGACAGCGGCUUGCGCCACAGCAACAGCAACUGCAACAGCAACAACAACAUCUACAGCAACAGCAGCAAGCCCAACGCCAAGCGCUGAGCGCACAGUCCCAUGUCCCAGUCCCAGCCCAGUCCCAGUUCCAAUCCCAGCGCCAGUGCCAGUCCCAGCCGCAGUCCAAUGCCCCCAUUGGUCCACAGCGAUUGUUUUUAUCGAUGGGCCUACGCUAUCAGCUGGGUACAGUUGCGCCCAAUGCCCAUGACUGUGAAUGUAGUCGGAGUCAGACUCGUGUCCGUAAUUGUGACUGUGGCAGCGACUGUGACUGUGCUCUGCACUUAGACUGAAUGCAAAAACAAACAUUUUACUUGAGUAACAUUUGUUGUACGCUCAACUCUUCUCUUUUUUCUCGCAGCACAAAUAGUCGGACAGUUGAUAAAAUGCCCGAGCAGCCUGCUGGAUGGACGUGUCUGGUUAGAUGGGGACACAUAUGCCCAGUGGCCAGUGCCAGUGCUCACUGGACUAUGGACAGUGCAGUGCCAUCAUGUCAUCAAGCAUCAGACUGUGCACAAACAGUUUCAAAUUAAUUAUUUGCUAGUGUUAAUGCAAAUGAAGUCAUUAAGACGCACAGACUGGCCGGGCAGAAGGCAAAUUUGGCCAAUUGAUGGCUCGCUGAUUGAGUCAGCCUUGGCCUAAGCUGAAAUCAAUGACAUUCGCUGUGACAUUCAAACUAUGCUUAUUACAUUUGUUUUUCACCAUAACUAAGCAUGCCGAACAAUUAAGUUCCGUUUAUACCUACAAAAUUAGAGAGUGUUCAUUUAGAUUCCAGUUACACCCGCACACUGCACUUACACUUUUCACAGCUCUCUAUACUUGUUAAGUUAAUACGGUUUUGACCAGGCACGUCAGGCCAACAAACAUUGAUAGAGCUAAAUUCCAAAUUGAUUAACAAUGUUAAUAUCACGCUUGCGUAACGAGCUGAUAAACUAUUGCUCGACUGAACUGAAGAGCUGGACACGUGAGACACGGCGCCUGGAGAGCUUGGGGCGUGGCAUAAUUGGGCUUCUUGCUAAGCUGCCCAUG
Drosophila mojavensis is the source of this 5533-nucleotide long non-coding RNA. RefSeq lists it as uncharacterized. Lineage: Eukaryota; Metazoa; Arthropoda; Insecta; Diptera; Drosophilidae. The transcript has 3 exons. The record is from RefSeq and is a predicted model, not a curated record.